CUGGGCUGGGCUGGUGGCGUGGUCCUGGCCAGCUGGGGUGCUUGUAGGGCUAAUAUGAAAGGGCUUAGGGCACCGUGUAACUUACCUGUUUCACUGCUGAUUUUUUUCCCCACAAUACUGAUGGUACGCAUCCCCCUCCUUUUGAACAAGACCAAGGGGGCUUUACUUCACUCCCAAGCCCAAUACUUUGAGAAAAAAGACCACUCUUCCCAUUUUCCCUUGCUGCUAGAAAAGCAGAGGCCCAGAGAGAUGCAGUCCAAGUACUGUAUAAAUAGCAGUUGUACAGUUGUACAUGGACACCUUUGCUGAAGUGGCUAAGGACCAGAGCUAGCUAUUUCCUUCUCAAAACCUAUAUAUAUCACAUAACGUAAUUUUAGAAGAUUCCCUAUUUGGAGCCUGCAUAGUUUGUGAAGAAAAUGUGGAUUUAAGACACGUAUGCUUGAUUAAGGUGUCUAAGAGAACACGAUUGAUGGCAUCAGGCAGCCUCUAAUGGAUAUUUGUCUACAUUACAAAAGAACUUCCUGCAGUCUGGACUUUUGCAUCAGAGAGGUUCGGGAUUUGGAAGGUACAGUUUUGCAGCCCAGAAUGAAAACAUGCUGGUAGAGCAGUGCAGAAUAUGUUUGCAUUCUAUUGUGUUUAUAAUAACCAGAGUGACAUCUAUGUUUUCAGGGACUGCUUGAAUGAAAUAAAGAAUGAAAAGAUAGAGGUUUGGUAUGAUCUCUGCUGCUGGGGAAGGCUAAAGAGAAAUUUGAAUCGUCUCUGUACCCUUUUGAUAUCAGGCUUUAUGAUAGAAAACAAGCAUUUUUUUUGUGUGUUGGAUACCAAAUAGCAUGCACUCGGAUUGAAGUCCAAACCAUGUUUCUUCCAAGUUUAAUCUGUUUUGUAUAUGUAGUACCGUACACACUCCCAUUAGUUGUCAUUUUCCAUCAUGAAUUUUCUGGUUGUUGAUGCUUCAAGAUGCAUGUAACACCUCCCUCCUUGCUGCUUCACUAAUAGCACCAUGUAAUCAGCUCACGCACUGUUUCUUCAAAUCCCGUUUCAGACAUUCCCCAGCCUGCACAUCCUGUUGCAGUUCUGCACAUCUGUUUCUACUGUAGAGGCAUCCACUUGUCUUCUGAUGGGCUACAAACCUCCUAGUCAUUAGUCUAUUGUCUUACCAAUUACCAGUCACAUCUGCUAGUCUCUUUACGCCAUCCCUCAUUGCAACUGUUGAAGACAGGAUACUGGGCUGGAUGGACAAAUGCAUGCCCAGCAGGGUAUUUCUUAUGUUUGUGCCUCAGUUACACUGUUUAUACAACACAGCUCUAGCUUGCAUAACGGGUUAUAAAGGAGACCACAAGGAGGUCAGAAGUACACAUUGCUGAUGAAAUGAGACAUGAAUUUUCCAAACACAUCAUGUUUUCCUCAAAUAAAUUUCUAUUCCACUGCAAACCUCUUUAUAAUCUGAGUUUUCCCCUAUAAGUAAAUGUAUGAAUGUUCUGCCAUAUGGUGUCUGCAAGCAUUAGCAUGUAAUAAAUUACUGAAACCAGAUAAAAUGCUCUUAAAUGUGAUCAGUUAGAGUUUAGCCAAUUUCACUGAAUUCUACAGGUUAACAGGACCGAGAGUUUACUUGUUCAUGUGGUACUGGAAGCUGGAGCAGAGGGAUUAAAAAUAAAUUUCCAGAUUUGUUCUGUAUUGCAACUGUAAUGACUGCAAAAGUCUGAAUGUGGUAGAAACAAAAUGAAAGUGGAAUUUGCCCCAAAAUAUUGGAGAAAAAAAAAAAAAAAAGAAUUGAGUAGCCCAGCUGCAAUAUGUUGGCUCUCUCAAUCAUUUGCCUGUGUACUUGCAGAAAGGAAAGUCUAGACAGUAGAAUCUGCAUGUACAUCAGGGGACAAUUUAGGUGCUUAGUCCUGGCUUGGCUAAGAGGUUUCGUAGUAGUUUUUAGAUCAGCUCUGACUGCAUGUGUUUGUUUUCUAAUGCAUAAUAAGAUUUCACUGUUACUUAUAUCUUUGGAUUUAGGGUUAUAAUCUGUUAAUCCCUAAAAUUUUAUCAAGAUAAUCUGUUUGAUCAUAUGCAAAAGCUCAUCUAGGUAGUAAAUAGGAGCUAUGCAAAAUAGUUCAGGCACACUACUAUGCAUAUUCAUAAACUUUCAAAAGAUCUCUCUUCUACAUUAGUCUACAAUUAAGAGUUAAGUUUUUGUUGGAGUAUCAGUUCAGAUAUCUUUGUCCUGAGGCAUAACUGAAAUCUUCCACGGAGUUUGAUAUUAAAUGUUGGCAUUGUAAAAUGUCUUAAUUUUGAAGCAACUGUCUAACAUUUAUUAUGUGAGGCACUCUGUAGUGGCUUCAUAAUUAGUUUUAAAUCAUUAUUGAUAGACCAAUUAUCUAGAAAGACCCAAUUAUUUGUGUCACAAAGCUCUCUAGUGUUCGCUAUCCAUGGAGAAAAUCCCUGGACAUUUGUCACUUACCUAUUUUGUUACAGCCAGGGAAAUGGCCAGUAGCUCCCACGGGUUUAUUUCAUGACUUGAAAUAAAGCUGUGUCCAGUAGCAGAGGGCACGAGUGACCUGGUUUCAUCUGUUUUGCACGUUUCUGUCAGAAACAUAGCAACAAGGUUUAGAGAGAAUCUUUGUAUAUUUUUUCGAGAAAAAAUAUCCCUGUGUACCCUCUGUAGAAUGAAAUAAUACACGAACCAGAAACAUUAUUUCUGGGCUUAGCUACUUUACUUUCCUUUACUUGGAUUUUAGCAGUUCAUUUGUCCAGUUUGGUUCUCAAAUAAUGUUUGAAGCUACAGGACUAGUCUGAGUUUACUCAGACAUUGAUUUAUCCCUGCAGCCAUCACAUCCCACAUGAUCUUUGCAUUUCUCCAUCAACUAAACCCCAAUGAAUUUAGGGAGAGACCUGUGUUAAAAGACAGGCCCUUCUAGGGAACCCCAGCUGGAUUCUUGCAGCGUUUCUGUGUAACUCCCAAGAGUGACUGUGUACAUCACCAUUGCAUUAUUUUAUUUGUAGGUGAGAGUAGAUAAAUUCAUCUGAACACUUCCAGUUAGAAUUUCAUGCUCAGAAGCUGUCCUCUGUGCCAAACUACAUUUCCAGAGCAAGCACGUUCAGCUUGAUUGUUUGUAAUUCUUUCUGAGUCAUUAGCCCUGUAGGAAUGAGCAUCUGCACUUGGAUGAGGCCUUUAAGGAGCUGAGCUGGAGGCACUACUG
Anas platyrhynchos (mallard) is the source of this 3182-nucleotide long non-coding RNA. RefSeq lists it as uncharacterized. Lineage: Eukaryota; Metazoa; Chordata; Aves; Anseriformes; Anatidae. The record is from RefSeq and is a predicted model, not a curated record.